UACAGAGGGGGCAAGCGUUAUUCGGAAUUAUUGGGCGUAAAGGGCGCGUAGGCGGCCUGCUAAGUCACACGUGAAAUCCCUCGGCUCAACCGGGGAACUGCGUCUGAUACUGGUUGGCUUGAGUGCAGGAGAGGAACGCGGAAUUCCAGGUGUAGCGGUGAAAUGCGUAGAUAUCUGGAGGAACACCGGUGGCGAAGGCGGCGUUCUGGACUGCAACUGACACUGAGGAGCGAAAGCCAGGGGAGCAAACGGG
RNAcentral lists this ribosomal RNA (253 nucleotides) under uncultured bacterium. RNAcentral's name for it is "partial 16S ribosomal RNA". It matches the Rfam family "Bacterial small subunit ribosomal RNA", at positions 524 to 776 of the family's 1533-position model. The record is from RNAcentral.